RNAcentral lists this transfer RNA (540 nucleotides) under uncultured cyanobacterium. RNAcentral describes it as "partial 16S-23S ribosomal RNA intergenic spacer". The stretch from base 213 to 285 matches the Rfam family "tRNA". The record is from RNAcentral. Lineage: Bacteria; Bacillati; Cyanobacteriota.
CAGGGAGACAACAAAAUGUUAAAUAUUAAUUUUGUCACCUUAGGUCGAUCGGUAUCUCACAUUCUUAAUUUCUUUAAGGAUUUCUUUUCCUAAGUUUUUCUCUAGGUCACACCCAUUACUCUCCCUGGGCCAUUAGCUCAGGUGGUUAGUGCGCACCCCUGAUAAGGGUGAGGUCCCUGGUUCAAGUCCAGGAUGGCCCAUAUCUCUAUGUUGGGGGUAUAGCUCAGUUGGUAGAGCGCCUGCUUUGCAAGCAGGAUGUCAGCGGUUCGAGUCCGCUUACCUCCACUGAUUACCACCUCUUCCAUACAUUGUGUAGGGAAAUGUUUUGAGUAUUGAUCAAAUUCUUAAAGACUCUAGCUUCCUAAUAUCUUUAUUAAGAUGCUGGACUCAUUGAAUUAAUUUCUUUGUUUUCAGAGAACCUUGACAACUGCAUAGAUUAUUUUUAAAGACAAUUGGCAUCUUAAAAGAUGCAGAUUUAUUAUUUGUGCGAAUGCAUUAAUAACAAUUCUAUUAAGCUGAUGCUUCAAUUAUGAAGUUAUU